RNAcentral lists this RNase P RNA (347 nucleotides) under Clostridia bacterium. Its description in RNAcentral is "RNase P RNA component class A". It matches the Rfam family "Bacterial RNase P class A". From Rfam's summary of the family: Ribonuclease P (RNase P) is a ubiquitous endoribonuclease, found in archaea, bacteria and eukarya as well as chloroplasts and mitochondria. Its best characterised activity is the generation of mature 5'-ends of tRNAs by cleaving the 5'-leader elements of precursor-tRNAs. Lineage: Bacteria; Bacillati; Bacillota; Clostridia. The record is from RNAcentral.
UAAGCGGACCGUGCGGUUGCGGGGAUAAUUAUCCACGAGGAAAGUCCGGGCUUCACGGCGGCAAGGGUGCCGGCUAAUUACCGGUGAAGGCGACUUCAAGGAAAGUGCAACAGAAAUAAACCGCAGCCUUACGGCUGUAAGGAUGGAAAGGCGAGGUAAGAGCUCACCGACGGAGCGGCAACGCCCCGUGCCCUGUAAACCCCACCCGAAGCAAGACUGAACCGCGGAGAUUCUGCCGCCGUCACUUCGCGGUAUAAAUUUACGUCGCUUGAGCGUAGCGGUAACGCUUCGCCUAGAUAGAUAGCCGCAUUAAACGACAGAACCCGGCUUACAGGUCCGCCUUAAAU